CCAGGUCUUAUUUUGGGGGGAUGUCAUCCACUGACUAACCUCACUUAUGUGUGUCGCCCCCAGCCUCCUUUUCACUGGAACCUCUUCUGCAGCUGGCAAGGCUUUCCUGAAGGCCUCUGCAGCCGAUAAGAGAGCGCCGGAUCAAUCCAGAGCUUUGUUAUCAUCUACAGAGGCCUUCAGGAAAGCCUUGCUGGCCUUGCCGGCUGCGGAAGAAAUGGGCCGGCAAGGCAGGUGUCGGGGUGAGCAAGGCCUGGCUACCACUGUCCAAAGGCAAAAGCUGCGUCAUCUCACGCAAAAGGGAAGAAUCGGAUGAAGAGGAAACCCGGAAACCGGAAGAGCAUCUCUCUCGGGUCAGGCAGGCCAGAGUCCUAUGUGUCUCUGAAGAGGGAGGUGGAAGGGGCCGAUGGGCGAGGUGAUUGGCAGGAACAGGCAAGAGGAGGCUCCCCG
RNAcentral lists this long non-coding RNA (447 nucleotides) under Naja naja (Indian cobra). RNAcentral's name for it is "lncRNA (ENSNNAG00000011714.1)". The record is from RNAcentral. Lineage: Eukaryota; Metazoa; Chordata; Lepidosauria; Squamata; Elapidae.